RNAcentral lists this ribosomal RNA (491 nucleotides) under Sugarcane whiteleaf phytoplasma. RNAcentral's name for it is "bacterial SSU rRNA". It matches the Rfam family "Bacterial small subunit ribosomal RNA", at positions 607 to 1109 of the family's 1533-position model. The record is from RNAcentral. Lineage: Bacteria; Bacillati; Mycoplasmatota; Mollicutes; Acholeplasmatales; Acholeplasmataceae.
GCUUAACGUUGUCCUGCUAGAGAAACUAUUAGACUAGAGUGAGAUAGAGGCAAGUGGAAUUCCAUGUGUAGCGGUAAAAUGCGUAAAUAUAUGGAGGAACACCAGAGGCGUAGGCGGCUUGCUGGGUCUUUACUGACGCUGAGGCACGAAAGCGUGGGGAGCAAACAGGAUUAGAUACCCUGGUAGUCCACGCCGUAAACGAUGAGUACUAAGUGUCGGGAUUACUCGGUACUGAAGUUAACACAUUAAGUACUCCGCCUGAGUAGUACGUACGCAAGUAUGAAACUUAAAGGAAUUGACGGGACUCCGCACAAGCGGUGGAUCAUGUUGUUUAAUUCGAAGAUACACGAAAAACUUUACCAGGUCUUGACAUACUCUGCAAAGCUAUAGCUAUAUAGUGGAGGUUAUCAGGGAUACAGGUGGUGCAUGGUUGUCGUCAGCUCGUGUCGUGAGAUGUUAGGUUAAGUCCUAAAACGAGCGCAACCCUUGUC